GUCCUUGCCUUAACGAUGUAUACUUGGUGUAGUUAGGCUCAACCCUGACUGUACCGUAGCCAACGCGAUAAGUAUACCGCCUGGGGAGUACGCUCGCAAGGGUAAACUCAAAGAAUUGACGGGGACCCGCACAAGCAGUGGAGCAUGUGGUUUAAUUCGAUGCAACGCGAAGAACCUUACCUGGAUUUGACAUGCAGUUGACCGUUACAGAAAUGUAACUUUCUCGCAAGAGACAGCUGCACAGGUGCUGCAUGGCUGUCGU
This 262-nucleotide ribosomal RNA is filed under the name uncultured bacterium. Its description in RNAcentral is "partial 16S ribosomal RNA". It matches the Rfam family "Bacterial small subunit ribosomal RNA", at positions 793 to 1055 of the family's 1533-position model. The record is from RNAcentral.